RNAcentral lists this long non-coding RNA (33646 nucleotides) under Malus domestica (apple). RNAcentral's name for it is "long non-coding RNA (MDOM_LNC002479)". The record is from RNAcentral. Lineage: Eukaryota; Viridiplantae; Streptophyta; Magnoliopsida; Rosales; Rosaceae.
AAAAAAAAAAAAAAAAAAAAAAAAACCUUUGCGUGACGCAGGUGUACCUACGUUGCGCAAAAUUAGGAAAAAAGCGGUAAAACAUCUUGGUUUGGCACCAAAACUUUGCGCGACAAAGACUGGAGUCGCGCAAAAUGUCUUUGCGCGAUGCCAGUCUUCGUCGCGCAAAGUUUUGUUGCGCAAAACAGCUUUGAACGACGUUUUAUUUUUAGCGUCGCGCAAACAUACUUUGCGCGACGAAAUUUGCUACGUCGCGCAAACAUGUUUUUGUACUAGUGAUCUGACACAAUUUCUGUCGGUUUUAGAGUAUUUUCUAUCGGAGAAUUCAUUUCCUGAUGCUGGAAAUUCUGUCGCUUAUUAUAUCCGCCACUGCAUUCGUUUUCUGUCGGAUUUUGCUUAAUAUCCAACAGUAAUACACAUUUCUUGGCGGUUUUCAUAGCGACACUAAUAAAUGGAUUUGUAGUAGUGAACUUGAAUCAAGGUUUAGGGUUUUCCAAGCAUUUGACGCCGUUCAAAUUGAUGCGAAAUUAAAAAAAAAAUGUAGUCAUAUUAUGCAAAAUUAAGAAAAAUGUAAUCAUACUUCAUGCGCAGCAUCCAAACAACGAUUCAAAUAUUUCAUUCGCAAAAAAUAACCUUUUUUUUUUAUCAACGUGUUUUCUUGCAGUCCCCAUCUCCCACAUUGAUGAUAAGUGAAGAUGUGUCGUGGAGCCUACCACAACGUUAUGAGCUGCACACUUGGUAUUUUAAACUCUAGUGAACGCACAAAUUUGAUACACAGCUUAUUUCCAAAUCAGCCAUAGACUUAAAAUUCAACACUCCCCUUUAAGUCUAAAGCUGAUUUCACUCCAAGCAUUCUUUUGAGAAGACUGAAUCGAUCCUUUGCGAGUGGCUUUGUGAAGAUGUCUGCCAAUUGCUCUUCUGUGGGACAACACACCAAGUCAAUAAUGCCUUUCUGCAAUGCAUCUUUGAUAAAGUGAUAUCUCCUAUCAAUGUGCUUGGUCUUUUGAUGGAACACAUAAUUCUUGGUAAUGGCAAUGGCAGAUGUGUUGUCACAGUGAAGAGGGGUUGCUUCAGUUUGUAAUUCUCCAAAAUCCUCCAGAACAAACCUCAACCAUAUUGCCUGAGCUGCGGCUUCAGAUGCACUUAUGUAUUCAGCACCUGCAGUUGAAAGUGCAACACAACUUUUUCUGCCCCUUCGAUUAUUUUCCGACAAAGUGUAGAAGGGGAAUUUGUCACUAUAACAUGAACUUUGAAGCUAGCUAAACAGAUCUGGGGUCUUUGAAAAUGACAUCAAAUAUUAGAAAAAUCGAUGCUGACAAAAGUGGUAUAUUCAAAUGCUUUAAGGGAGUACAUUCAACACCAUUAAAUACCACAAAGCACACAAUAAGGAAAUAAAAUAAUAAAAAUAUAGCAAAAAGUCCAUAAAUGUUUUCCAUGUAAGUGCCACUUCAACUUGGUUAACGGAAACACAACAGACUUGAUGGAAUGGGGUAUUUUGAAACAUGAGGCAUAUCAUAAGGAGGGAGGGGGGAAGCUAGACGCAUAUCAUAACUGUAACAAAGCCUAAUAAAUAUUCUUCCAUUGAUUGAAUCUCCCCACAAGAAGUUUUAAUUGGGAAAGCAUACAACAUGCCAUAUUCAGAUUCUUCUACCAUAGAUACGGAUUACACAGGCCCUGGUCCCAAAAGCUUAAGAUGUUAGGGAAUGGGUGAACAAGGGAUGCCAAGCUUACACCCUCCCUCACAUGCAGAAUGGGCAGCAUGUGGAGGAACAAACAGAUGGAAGGAGAAAAAGAACAUAGUAGUGCAGCCUGACCAUGCACCAUUCACACAGCAUAGAAGCAGGCAUCGAGAUCAAAAGUUUUGAACCCAAUACCUCUUGCAAACUACUAACAAGGCUCUAAUACCAUGUUAGUUAACCACUGGCCCCAAAAGCUUAAGUGAUGAGGGAAUAGAACCGCAAGAAUUAUCAGGAUUACAACAACGACUAAACAUCCAUGGGUUGACAGAAGUUAAACACCACUGCAUUUGCCUCGACACGAACAAAAGAUGUACCUAUACAGUCCCGAUAUGACAGAAUAACCCUAGAUAUUCAGUUAUGCCUUUUAAUUGGACUAUGCUCAGAUAAAAUUUGGAUUGACAAGGUGUGUGAUCAAAUUUCUAUAUAAGAAUCUCAGAACAAAACUCAUUUAUUUCUUUUGUGUUUGGAAAGUCCGAAAAACUCAGUUCAACCAUAGUUUUCUAUUGGAAAGAAGUAUCGAUAGAUCCUUUUAUUUUCGUUGAACAUCAAAUAAGUACUGGAACAACUAGAAGUCUAGAACAAAUGUGAAAAAUCCCAAUGGCAAUGCACUAACUUAAAUUCAGAUCACAUUUAAACUCACACGAAAAUGCAUCAUAUGCAAAACCAAAGCUAAAUUGAUAUAAAGUUGAGAGAACAAUAAGAAUAUACCAUUUGUUACAAGUGAACCUACCGCUGCUCGUUUUAUCUGCUAUGAUCUUUCUUAAGAUCUUUCCACUGAACUUCAAAUUUCAAUAGGCCCUGCUCUAAGAACGACUUCUCAAGGUGGUACCUCAAUUCCCGAAAGUUUUGAUGCAAUUUUGCUAUUUAACAGAAAAGAACAAAAAUAAAUCUAGUAAGCUACUACAGGCCAAUCAAAUUGUAACAAAAAAGAAAUGAAAUUUAAAACAUGCAGCCAUUAUCAAAGGCAAAUGGAAACAUGGGUAUCUAAUAAAAACUCAAAACUCACCAAUUGCAUUAUCCAAUUCCUCUAAGCAGUUGGCGCCAUUUCAGAACUCCAGCACAAAAUACCCACCUGGGUAUUGUGCUUUUCUGGCAGAUUAAGCUUGUGGGGAAUCUGGGGAUCUGAUUGAAGAAAGAAGGAGAAUUUACAGUCAACUAUGUGACUGUGAUGGAAUUUGAGGGCGGUGAGGUGAAGGAGGCUUCGAUUCCUCAGCCCACCAAUUAGCUCUGUUGCAUGAAUUCAUAAGGAGAGCAGGUUUAAUAUUUUUUAUUUAUUUAAUUUCCAUUUUUGGGGUGAGAAGAGAGCUGGGUUUUGUGAGAGAAGAAAAUCUGAGAAGUGUUUGUUUGACCUGGACGGUAGAACAGAGAACUCGGGAUUCUUGGGAGGAUUUCUCAACGAAGAAGAAGAAAGUGGACUACUCUGCUCAGGCCCACCAGCAAGUAUAUUGGUAGGCCGAACCCACUUUUCAUCUCUGCUACAUGAAAAUAAAAACAGUUUGAAUUAGCAUUUUUUCCUAAUACAAACGAUAUUUUACAGUAAGGAGAAUGAGAGGGUUGAAUUCAAGACACCGUGAGUUGAAGAAGAAAAGACUAAUAAAUGUGAUUUAAAUCAACUUUUUAUCGCAACAUACAGAGGCAUGAACGGGGGAAUACAACACCAUAAGGAGGAAUUCAUAGAUCUUUAUAUUCUACUACAUAACCUAAACAAGAGGCAUAUGGCAAUAGCCAAGUUUUACGAUAAAAGGAUAGGACAAAGGGAGAGGCUUGUAGGUCAUUUGGUUAAGAGCAUUUACCAUUGCACUUGAGGUCCAUAUAUGUUUGUCCAUGCGAUUCUCAUGACUCACUGAUUAAGGAGUUGUUGAUGUUAUUAGUUUGUUUGUACCGUUAGUUUUGUUCCGAGUACAAUGUGUUUGGAUUAGUAUGUGGAGGACAAGUAUCCUCUGAGACCGUCAUUACCCGAUAACCCUCAGCUAAAAGUUAUUAAUCUCUAGGUAAGUUAAGGAACUCAUUUUUGUUCAUUGCUGGAACACAGCCAAGAAACAGAAAUUUGCAGUGCAUCAAAACUUGUGUAAGAAGAUUCUACAAAUGCUACAAAUUCUAUAGCACUUGAAGGGCUUUCUGUUUUAGUUGUUUUAGACAAAAUAAAGAAUAGGACUUAUCUUUUCUUUGAUCGCAAUAGGAUGCUACAUACAACAACACCACACCCUAAAAGUUAAAAAGUAAGGCAAAUUCAAAUGAAAUACCACCUUUCAAUAAAGAUUUUAAGGAAAAAUACCACUAGUCCAUUCUAAAAAUUGUGAAUAAAUACAUUUACAUAGAAACGUUUAUAUUUUUGUCCCCAUUGCAAGCGUUACAUAGAAACGUUUAUAUUUUUGUCCCCAUUGCAAGCGCUCCACAUACCACCAGUGCCAAUUUCAAAAAUUGUUGUCGGCCAGAGUCCUUGUGGUUACAAAUUUUUUCUAGUUGCUGAAAAUUUUCAAGUCACUUUUACAUAGUGACUUAAAAAAAUACGUGCAACUUUUUCAUUUUCAAUUAUGUUUUGUUGUGUGAGUUUACUUUUUUCUUCUUCACAUAUGUACGUAAAUACAAUAAAAUUAGAGAAAUUAUGAGAAAAUUCAUUACUUAGCAUGUUCUUUUUGAAGGUCAUUGUUAGAGAGUGACAUUAAACUGGAAAAAGUUGUCGGUCGCCUGAAAAUUUGAAGGUCAUAUUGGUCGUCGGAAAAUUUGAUCAAUCAGUUGCAAGAAAAAGUUGCUCGGUCGAAAAACAUGGUAGAAUUAAGUGACAAUCAUGUAAUUAAUUUGAAUUAGUAAUAUUUAUAGAAUUGUUUUGGUUGAUUUUUCCAUUGAUAGCUAAACUGAAAAAACAUGGUAUUAUUCAUAUAUGCAUCAGACCUCCUGAGAAACGAGAGAUUCCCCAAGGAAUGAAGGAUCUAUCCUGUUAAAUUAUACUUUUUUAAAUUAAAUACUUCAAACGUCUGCUAUAUUGUUUUCUGUAAUCCUUGUCCUGAGCUAACCCUAUUCAGGUCUAUCAUAACCACCUUCCACUUGGCCGGUGGCAAUGCCUCCAUCUUUGCCCAACAGCAACUCAUUUGCUUCUAAAAACCAAGUCAUAUCACGACUAAUGACCAAUCUACUACUUUCAUGCAGUGUCAAACAUUCCACGGUCACGGUCUAAACUUGCAGGUCAGACCGUGCGGUGGAGCAUGGAUAUGUCAUCUAACACCUCAUUAGAUUAUUUGAUGACACUUGAGGCUAACUAUUGUCCUAAUUUGCUUCAUGGUGAAUAUAAACUCAAUCGGUGGGCAGUAUAGUAUCAUAGUUUCAAUUGUUAUUUCAAAUAGGGCAUGCAAAUAGUUCUAUUUUUGGAAGAAAAAAAAAAUGCAUGCAAGUUGAUAAACAAAUAAAUAAAUGUGUAAAUGUGUUGAACUUGCAACCACCAAGCCACCAAAUGUCUAAGUGCAGAGGUGGAAAGGUAACUACACGACGCCGCCUACCACUUUAGAAUUUAGAUACAUAACAGAGUUUAGUUUGAACUCUGAACUUGCACAAUUCCGUAUAUACCUCGCCAUUUUUCUCUUAGAUGGAAUUAUUGUUGAAAUCCCACAUCGGUGGGUGAAAAAGAAAAUUAUGGGUUUAAAUAUGAUUGCCUUACAUUAAUUAACAUUGUGAUUUUUCAUGGUAAAACUUCAUAUUUGACGGAUUUGGCAGGUGGUAAAGUUAGAAACAGUAUUAAAGUGAAACCCCAUGGGCCCCACCGAUCCAAAAAUCCAACGAUUAUGUACAUCGAUUACGUAACUUCAUCAAGCUAUACAUAUCAAUUACGUAACUUCUUUAACAUUAAAAUACUAUAAUUAAGUUUUGAUACGUUGGGAUAAGUAUGAGAAUGACCACAAUUCCACAUUCGAGAACAUAAACCAAAGAAAACAUUACUGAAAUUUAUCAUAUAGUAUUAGAAAAUCUCAAACAAAAUUGAAUGACAAUUGAUAAGAUAAUAGGCUAAACGUUUUAUGUAUGGUACCUCCUCCUGUAUAUAGCCCCAGAAACUUUAGGAGACUAAAUACGAAUACAAUUAACAAAAUUGAAUGACAAUUGGUAAAGAUAACAUGCUAAACAUUUUAUCUACGGUACCUCCUCCUUUAUAUAGCCCUAGAAAUUCUAGGAGCCUAAAUACGAAUACAAUUAAACAAGUAACAAAAAAAUAAAAAACAACAAUCUCUUCGAAACGUCAACACAUUAUAACAAUGAGUUUGAUGUGCAUUGUCAGUCUUUUUGAAAUGAUAUAUAAUGAUUCCAAAUCAGACACUAAAGCUCAAAUUAAUCUAUAAAGCUUUAUUCUUGCUGCUCGAUUUGCGCCUUUCGACUUGAUUUCAGUCUGUUCCGCAAUCUAAUUUAUAUCAGUCCCUCCCAUAUAGAGGAGCCCUCUCCUACAGUUGUGAGACUCAAUUAUUUAGUUGACCAAACUCAUUAUAACACAUGUGUAACUUCUCCAUUAUUAUAAUAAAAAUGCCAGCCAACUUCAUGGACCAAAUUAAGGGUGAACCGGAUAAAUGCAUUGCGUUGUGUACAACGAAGGAAGUGACACCCAACCAUAUUUUUAGGUGCCUAUUGGGUAGGGAUGGCAAUGGGGUGGAUUGGUUCGGAUGUGCCAUCCUCAUACCCCGAACAUGUUUAUUUUUCCCAAACCCGAACUCGUAGAAUCCCUGAAUGGGUUUUCCCCAUAACCAAACCAGUCAGGUGACAGAUUUUUGAUUGGGGACGGUUUUCCCCAUUAUGUUAUUUAUAUAGUUAUUUAUAUUAUUAACUAAAUGAAGAAAAUUAAAUAAAUUGCUAUUAUUAAUACAAUGCAUCUAAUAAGUAAUAUUAAAAAUUUAUAUUACUAAGAAAACAUUUACACUCUUGGAAAUUAUAAGCGUAUAAUUCCUAUUAUUAAUGAUAUAAAAGUAAAUAAUUAAUUUCAUAUUUAAUAAUGCAUGAUUAUUAACAACCACUUUUUUAUAUAAUAAAUAUUUAUAUUUUUUUAUUCAUAGAUGAAAUGGUUCGGUUUCGAGUAUGGGUUUGGGGCGGAUACCCCAAUAACCAAAACCGAACCCGAAAUCGAAAAAUUUACCCAAUGGUUACCCAUAACCGUAAAAUACCCGAAAUUAGAUGCCCGAAACCGAACCAUUCGGAUCGGUUACUUACUUGCGGGGAUCGGAUUUGACGGGUUAAAUUGCCUUCCCUACUAGCGGGCAUCUAUAUAAGAAGGAAUCAGAGUCUUCCUAUAUCAAGAUCUAUCCAUUGUGCUUAAGGAGUUAUUAGAAAUAGCUUCAAAACCAACGGCAAUAUUUUGGUCUGAGGUAAAUCUCGUCUCUUGUUUAUGAUAUAUAUGCAUGCUUUAAAAUAACUUACCGUUAUGAGUCAUCUGUGAGCAUUGUGAAAUGUUCUUAACUAAAUCAAGGCCAGGAUUUCAUUACUUGUUCUCCAAAUUUCAAUUAUUUUGUUUACAAUAACCAGAUAUUAUCAAUAAGCAUGUUAUUAUUUCUAUAUAAAAAAACUUGGCAUGAAACUUGUUGAUGCACAAAAUCGGUGAGGACUUUGGUUCAAUAGAAACUGUUAAGUUUGUGACCUUCGCUAGAUUGCUCCGGUCACUAGUGUGGAUAAGUAUGUAAAUGGAUAGGGACAGGGAAGCAAACACAAGAUGUAUGUGGUUCACCCAGAUUGGCUACGUCCACGGAGUAGAGGAGUUCUCAUUAAUUGUGAAGGGUUUACACAAGUACAUAGGUUCAAGCUCUUCUUUAGUGAGUACUAGUGAAUGAUUUAGUACAAAUGACAUUCGGAAAUAUUAUGAGAGAAUGAUCUCUAUUUAUAGAAGAGAGUUUCUAGUUUCAUUCUGACAUUGACACGUGUCGUGUUGUGAUUGGCUUCUGAUGUUGACACGUGUCGCGCUAUGAUUGGCUUCUGAUGUCGACACGUGUCGCGCUGUGAUUGGCCUCCUGGUUGGAGGGAAACUCUUCUGGGUCCUUGACGGUAUAACAUUAACCGGUGCUCAGUAGUUUCGGGAUUGGUCAAGUAUGGUACAAACAGUGCUCCCUUAAGUUUCCGAGUGAGGGAAGCUCUUCGGUUAGGGACUUGCAAAAUCCAAGCCAUUGAAUAAUCACGAAACUUAUAAGUAUGGAAGUGUGGUAUCAUUUUCACUUGCCUUAUCUGUCUCAUAUGUAGAUAUGGCAUCUUCUCUUGAAGUACUUUUCCUCCAUCCAGGGGUGGUAUCCUUAACCGAUGAAGAUGCACAAGGUAAUGUAUAAAUUUUACUUGAAGCUUACUUGUAGUUUCGAGCUUGGUCAAGUGAGAUACAAACCCUAUAGUAAGAGUUCCCCAAGUUGUCGAGCUAGGAGAUUUGCCAAAAGAGAUAACCGACAAGGUAAGCAAUCAGACUUCCAAGCAAGCAACCUAGAUCGGAGGUUCGACUUCAACUUUCGGUUGAUUGUUCUCAUUCUCCUUAUGUCGUAAACAGCAACAAGGAUAAGGAGAAGCAAAUGGAGAAGAGGUGAUAUGAGAUAUUUUUGCUUUUGAAGAAGUAACUUUCCACAGGCUUAUUCUUGAACUGGGCUGAAAGGUUUUCUGGUUUUCUCCAGAGUAUAAGGCCGACUCAAGAAUUUGAGGGUCAAAAUAAGUCAAUCAAAUCUAGAGUACGUUCGACCCUGAUGAUAUGGGAUACUUUUGCUGUUGACAAAGUAAUAAAUGAAUUGGCACGUGUUCUGUUGCGCUUGUCUCCAUAUGUUUCCUUGUAUCCUUCUCACUUGCCCUAUCUGUUCCUCAGGCAGAUGUGGCAUCUUUUCUGGAAGCAUAAGAUGUUGAAGAUGAGUACUCGAGAGCAAUGCCAGAUAAGUAAUCAGGCAAGGAGUUCCAGGUAGUCAGUUCCUGACUGGGAGCUUGAUUCCAAGUGCUGACUGAUUACUCACUUUCUCCUUAUCUUGCAGGUAAGAACAAAGCCAAAGGAAAAGAUAGGGAAAAAGCAUGAUAUAUGAUACUCUUGCUUUUAACCUUGAUGAUAUGAGAUACUCUUGCUCUGGUGUGGCUUGUUUGCAGAUGUGUUAUCGGGGGGAAAAGAAGCUAAGUAUUUCCAGAGACUCUGCUGAGAGUGCCUUCUCGGAUGUGAAGAAAAGUUGAGCAUUUUUUUAUUUGCAGGUCUGCUUGGCUGUGGAGGAUGAAGGUUGACAUAUAUAGGAAUUGUCCUAACAGCUAGUGGUAACAUUGUUCAUUUACCCUUCUCGGUCAUAGCAAUGUAGUGGGAGUUGCAAGAUUCAAGUGUUUUAACUUUGUCAGAGCACUUUGAAAAAGUGGUCUAUGAUAUCUGGAAAGCUAAUGUUGCGUGUGAAGAUUGCAGACAAGCUUUAUCCAAGGAAAUCUGGCUCUUGAAGUUCGGAGAGCGGUGCCUCUUCGGUUUUCAAACAAGCAAUACUGUUGGGGAUUUGGCUUUCGAGAUUCGGAGAGCGUUGCCUCUUCGAUUUUUGAACAAGCAAUCCUAUUGGGGAUCUAGCUCUCGAGGUUUAGAGAGCGGUGCCUCUUCGAUUUUUGAGAAAGUAAUCCUGGUGGAAGUCUGGCUCUCGAGAUUCGAAUAGCAGUGCCUCUUCGAUUUUUGAUAAAACAAUCAUGUUGGGAGUCUGGCUCUGGAGAUUCGGAGAGCGGUGCCUCUUCGAUUUUUGAGAAAGUAAUCUUGUUGGAAGUCUGGCUCUCGAGAUUCGGAGUGUGGUGCCUCUUCGAUUUUUGAGCAAGUAAUCUUGUUGGGAGUGUUUUCUCAAAUGUGAGUAAAAGUUGGACAUUUUUGCCAAUCUGCCUUGCCAUGGAGCACGAAGGUGGACACACAUAGGGACUUUCCAGUUAUCAAGUAGUGGUGUUGUUCCUUUACCCUUGUGGGUAAUAGUAAGGUAGCUGGACCUUCAAAAUUGAUGUGUCUAAACUUUGUCAGAGAUCUUUGGCAAAGUUAUCUGUGGUACCCGAUAAGCUGAUGUUGCGUGUGGAGAGUGGUGCCUCUUCGAAAUCCGAAGAGUGGUGCCUCUUCGAUUUUUGAACCAACGGCCCUGUUGCCCUUUCUUUUAUAAGGGCACACAUUGUGUGCAAGAAGUACAUUCGGAGAGUUAUUGCUUGUAGGAAUUUUCCCCUUAUUUUUGUACUUCAGAGAUUUAUUGCAUCUCAUUUCUCCUUCAUCAUUUCUAAGAAUAUCUGGCCCAUUCGACCAUCGUUUUGACUUGAACUUUGGUGAAGAGGCAGCCAUGCCUUUUUAAGACAACAUAUGGCGCCCAUCCUUCUUAUCCCCUACUGGUCCUCUUACUGUUGGGGACUCUGUGAUGAAGAAUGAUAUGAACGCUGCGGUGGUGGCUAGGAACCUUCUCACUCCCAAAGAUAACAGACUACUUUCCAAACUAUCUGAUGAGUAGGCUGUUAAGGAUUCUCUGGCUCUCAGUGUUCAGUGUGCAAGUUCUGUGUCUAAUAUGGCCCAACGCCUGUUUGCUCGAACCCGCCAAGUUGAAUCAUUGGCUGCUGAAGUGAUAAGUCUCAAACAGGAGAUUAGAGGGCUCAAGCAUGAGAAUAAACAGUUACACUGGCUCGCACAUGACUAUGCUACAAACAUGAAGAGGAAGCUUGACCAGAUGCAGGAAUCUGAUGGUCAGAUUUUACUUGAUCAUCAGAGGUUUGUUGGUUUGUUCCAAAGGCAUUUAUUGCCUUCGUCUUCUAGGGCUGUAUCGCGUACUGAAGCUCCAAAUGAUCAACCUUCGGUGCCUCCUCCUUCUAGGGUUCUGCCUAGUACUGAGGCUCCGAAUAAUCACCCUCCGGUGCCUCUUAUUUUUGGGGCUCUGCCGAUUGCUGAGACUUCUCCUGAGCAACCUUUGUGAAGGCUCCCUCUUGUUUGUUUAUUUUGAUUCAUGUAUAUGUACAUAUUUGUAACUUAUCGGAGAUAUCAAUAAACAAGCUUUGCUUCAUUUCAACGUAUUGUGUUAAAUACAUCAAGGCCUUCUUCACUAAGUUCUUUGAAUUUUUUCUUUUGUUGAAGCUUGUAUGUUGAAGCUUUGUGAGUGAAGCAUGUAUGUUGAGAUAGUGCUCCCUUAAUUUCCCGAGUGAGGAAAACUUAUCGGUUGGAGACUUGAAAAAUCCAAGUCACUGAGUGGUCGUGAGACUUCCGAGUAUCAAGGUGCAGUAGCAUAUGGUAGGAGUCCCCCAAGUCCCCGGUUGAGGGAGUUGACAAAGGAGGUGUCUUGCUAGUAGCCAAGUUUCUAAAGUAACAAAACUUCACCAUUUUCCUUUCUAAGGGGUAGCCCAAAACUCCUCAUUCGUAUAUAUUUGUUAUAAAAGUUGUUAGGCCCAAAGAAGAGGAGGCCUAGGCAAUUUGUUUUUUGUUUUUCGAAUUUUUUUUUUAAUUUUUGAAUUUUCAAAUUUUUGAAUUUUUGAAUUUCCGAAAAAAAAAAAUAUAUAUAUAUAUAUAUCUAUAUAUUUUAAGCUUUGUAGGUGAAGCUUUGGUGUAGAAGCUUUGUAGGUGAAACUUUGAGGUUGAAGUUUUGUUGGGUACCAUGAAUUGAUUUUGCUUCACACUAUCUUGAUCAAGAUAGUGUGAAGCUUUUGUAGGUGAAGCUUUUGUGUUGAAGCUUUGUAGGUGAAGCUUUUGUGUUGAAGCUUUGUAGGUGAAGCUUUUGUGGUGGGUGAAGCUUUUGUUGGUGAAGCUUUUAUGGGUGAAGCUUUUGUUGGUGAAGCUUUUAUAGGUGAAGCUUUUUUAGUGGGUGAAGCUUUUGUUGGUGAAGCUUUUAUGGGUGAAGCUUUUGUAGGUGAAGCUUUUGUGGUGAGUGAAGCUUUUGUGGUGGGUGAAGCUUUUGUGGGUGAAGCUUUUGUUGGUGAAGCUUUUAUGGGUGAAGCUUUUGUAGGUGAAGCUAAUGUGGUGAAGCUUUUGUGGGUGAAGAUUUUAUGUUGAAGCUUUGUAGGUGAAGCUUUGGAGUUGAAGCUUUUGUUGGGUACCAUGACUUGAUUUUGCUUCACACUAUCUUGAGCAAGAUAGUGUGAAGCUUUUGAGAAUUUGUAGUUAUCCUCCUUUGAUGAAGCUUUUGUUGGUGAAGCUUUUGUGGUGAAGCUUUGUUGGGUACCAUGAAUUGAUUUUGCUUCACACUAUCUUGAUCAAGAUAGUGUGAAGCUUUUUAGAAUUUGUAGUUGUCCUCCAUUGAUGAAGCUUUUGUUGGUGAAGCUUUGUUGGGUACCAUGAAUUGACUUUGCUUCACACUAUCUUGAUCAAGAUAAUGUGAAGCUUUUGAGAAUUUGUAGUUGUCCUCAAUUGAUGAAGCUUUUGUGGUAAAGCUUUGUUGGGUACCAUGAAUUGAUUUUGCUUCACACUAUCUUGAUCAAGAUAGUGUAAGGCUUUUGAGAAUUUGUAGUUGUCCUCCAUUGAUGAAGCUUUGUUGAAUUUCCUUUUUUUUUUUUUUUUUUUUUGGGGAAACUAGAAAUUUGAAAAUGUGGGAGAGACAACAUAUACAAAUUUUGCUUCCACACUGUUGAGCAAGAGAUUGUGAUGUAAGCCACACCUUGUAGUAGUCGAAGGUUUGGAUGAACCAUAUAAAUUGAAUUUGCUUCGAACAGUCUUGAUCAAGAGUGUGUGUAGCUUUUUACGAGUUGUAGUUGCCCUUCAUUGAUGAAGCUUUUGUUGGCACCAUAAAUUGGUUUUGCUUCACACUGUCUUGAUCAAGAGUGUGUUUGAACUCCUUUGAUGAAGCUCUUGUUGGCACCAUAAAUUGGUUGUGCUUCACAAUGUCUUGAUCAAGAGUGUGUGAAGCUUUUGAGAAUUGUGGUUGCCCUCCAUUGAUGAAGCUCUUGUUGGCACCAUAAAUUGGUUUUGCUUCACACUGUCUUGAUCAAGAGUGUGUGAAGCUUUUGAGAAUUGUGGUUGCCCUCAAUUGAUGAAGCUCUUGUUGGCACUGUAAAUUGGUUUUGCUUCACACUGUCUUGAUCAAGAGUGUGUGAAGCUUUUGAGAAUUAUGGUUGCCCUUCAUUGAUGAAGCUCUUGUUGGCACCAUAAAUUUGUUUUUCUUCACACUAUCUUGAUCAAAAGUGUGUGAAGCUUUUGAGAAUUAUGGUUGAACUCCUUUGAUGAAGCUCUUGUUGGCAUCAUAAAUUGGUUUUGCUUCACAUUGUCUUGAUCAAGAGUGUGUGAAGCUUUUGAGAAUUGUGGUUGCCCUCGAUUGAUGAAGCUCUUGUUGGCACCAUAAAUUGGUUUUGCUUCACACUGUCUUGAUCAAGAGUGUGUGAAGCUUUCUACGAGUUGUAGUGUUUGCAUUGUUACGGAGGAGAAAUGUCUGAAGUAGAUGCAAGAGGGCUGGAUAGCUUGAUCUUCGUAUGCCAUGCACUGAAGUUGUUGUUGGCUUGCAAUAAGACUUUGUUGGCGACUAUAACUUUUGUUAGGCAUAAGUGAUCCCCUAGUUGAGUUGUCAAGCUUGAGGGUUUUUGAUUAUUUGUGAAUGCUAGGAGUUCACAUGUACAAGUUGUACCAUUCGUCUUCUGGUAGGUGGAAUAAAUGGUGAGUUGCUUUCAUCACUUGGUUGGUGAUACGAAUGUGAGUUCCUUCAUCACAUUUCAUCACCUGGUUGGUGGCACGAAGAUGAGUUCCUUCUUCACCUGGUUGGUGGCAUGAAUGACAAGUUGCCAAAUGAUAUUAGAGUACGGGUUGUACAUUUCAUCACCUAGUUGGUGGCAUGAAGGAGAGUACGGGUUGUACAUUUCAUCACCUGGUUAGUGGCAUGAAGAUGAGUUCCUUCUUCACCUGGUUGGUGGCAUGAGUGGCAAGUUGCCAAAUGAUAUUAGAGUACGGGUUGUACAUUUCAUCACCUGGUUGGUGGCAUGAAGGAGAGUACGGGUUGUACAUUUCAUCACCUGGUUGGUGGCAUGAAGAUGAGUUCAUUCUUCACAUUUCAUCACCUAGUUGGUGAGAAUAAGGGCAAGGUGUUUAGGCACAUUGUAGCAAGUGUCGAAUGACACAAAGUAUGUUGAACCAUUUCAAAGCACAGUUGGCUUAUGUAUGAAUGUGUUGGAAUGUAUGAUUGAACGAAUAUACUGUGAAGCUGUUCGUAUUUAUAUAGUCUUGUUGACAUAUACUUAGACUUUGUUUCAUGUUGGAAGCAUUCAUGUUGAAGCUUUGAACCCGAGUGUUUCAUUGCUAGGAAUGUAAGAGGAUUAGGACCGAGUUGUCUAAAUCACCUCUUUAUUGAAUUCAUGCCAAAUAGUUUUCGUUACAUAGGAUGUCGAACGGCUGAAGCUUAACACUUGUACAAUGUGAGUUUACUUGUAAUAGUACUUUAAGUGAUCAGCGUUCCAUGGAUGGCCAAGGGUCUUGCCAUCGGAGCUUCUAAGCUUGUAAGAGCCAGGGCGAUUGAUGCCAACAACUUCAAACGGUCCAUCCCAGUUUGGACUAAGUGUUCCUUCACUCAAGACUCUGUCACAAAGUAAUAUUUUCUUCAAUACCCAGUCCCCCACUUUGAAAGAACGAGGUUUGACCCUUGAGUCAUAGUAGUUAGAGAUGCGCUGCUUGUAGGCGACAUUCCUCAAGUGAGCCUGGUUUCUGUGUUCCUUUACUAGAUCUAAGUUGAGGGUAAGUUGUUUGUCAUUUUCACUUUGGAAGUAGUUUUGGACUCGCAACGUUGCUUGCUCAAGCACAACUGGGACAAUUGCCUCUGUACCAAAGGCAAGUGAGAAUGGGGUUUCUCCUGUUGAUGUCCGCGGUAUGACCAAAGAACUUGGGGUACAAAUUCUGGCCAACAACCUUUAGCCUUGUCCAAGCUGGUUUUCAAAGUUCGCUUGAUUAUUUUGUUGAUUGCUUCAACUUGUCCAUUAGACUGGGGAUGAGCUGGGGAGGCAAAACAUAAGUUGAUGUUGAACUUAGAGCAGAACAUCCUGAACUUAUUCUUGUCGAACUGUCGCCCUUUGUUAGUGACUAUCGCAUUGGGAUUGCUGAAUCUGCAAAGGAUGUUCUUCCAUAUGAAGUCUUCUAUUUUUGCCUCAGUAAUGGUUGCCAAGGGUUCUACUUCAGCCUACUUUGUGAAGUAGUCAACUGCAACGAUUGCAUAGUGAACAUUGCCUUUCCCUGCAUGCAUUGGGCUGGUCAAAUCAAGUCCCCAUUGGGCGAAAGGCCAAUGGCUGAUCACAGGAGUGAGCGGCUCGGGAGGGGAGUGAGGAAUAGUUACGUAGCAUUGACAUUUAUCACAUGAGCGGGAUAUUCUGAUGGCAUCAUGGUGGAGUGUUGGCCAGUAAUAUCCUUGGAGAAAAGCCUUGGGUGCUAGGGAUCGAGAUCCAGCAUGAUCUCCGCAGACUUCUUCAUGUAUUUUCCGAAGGACAAUUUCCGCCUCUGCAGGCGUAAGGCAUCUUAGGUAUGCUAGGUUAAAACCUCGCUUGUAGAGUUGGUCAUUAAUGAUCAAGUAACGGGUAGCCUUGUAUCGAAUCUGCUUAGCUUGGACUUUGUCAUUUGGAAGGGUGCCACGAGCAAGGAAUCUAUAAAUCGGGGUAAUCCAAUAAUCCCCCUGUUAUAAGUUGCACACUUCCGCAGCCAUGGUGCUUGGUGCUGCCAACAAUUCGACCUGAAUUUUUCUCCCAAUCUUGUCUUCUACCGCUGAGGCGAGGCGAGCCAAAGCAUCUGCAUGACUGUUUGCCGCUCGAGGAAUUUGGGUGAUCUGGUAGUGGAAGUGCUUGUGCAACAAUUGUGUUUGUGCCAGAUAUGCUGUCAUGGAGCUAUCCUUAGCUUUAAAGUUGUUAGUGACCUGGUUAACCACCAAUUGGGAGUCACUGAAGAUAUCAAUUCAUUUAACCCCAAGGUGUUUGGCCAAACGUAAGCCUACUAGGAGGGCUUCAUAUUCGGCCUCAUUGUUCGACGCCUUGAAUUUGAAACAAAGAGCAUACUCCAUCGCCACUUUGUCAGGGGUUGUAAGGACUAGUCCUGCUCCACAACCUUAUUGGUUGGACGAGCCAUCAACGUAUAGACUCCAUGUUGGGGCUAUUGGUUCUAUUUUCUGAGCUUCCGAGGGUAAUGAAACCACUUCUUUAGGUGUAGAAACAAUGUCAACAGGAUAUGUGAAGUCGGCGAUGAAGUCUGCCACUGCUUGGCCAUUUUCAGCUAGCUUUGGUUGGUAGGAGAUUUCAAACUCACCCAAUGUUAUCGCCCAUUUGAUCAUUUGCCCGGAAGUGUCAGGACUUUGGAGUAUCUAUCGAAGAGGAUGAUUGGUAAACACUAUGAUGGAGUGUGCUUGGAAGUAAGGGCGAAGUUUUCAAGCAGACAUGACUAAUGCUAGAGCCAAUUUCUCAAUGUUAGAGUAUCGUGUCUCCGCAUCUUGUAAGGCAUUGCUAGCGUAGUAGACAGGUCGUUCGACAUUACCAUCAUUUCGAAUGAGAACGGAACUUACUGUUGAAGCCGAUACCGACAGAUAGAUAACGAAAGUGUCACCAACCUCAGGUUUGGAUAGCAAAUGGGCUUUACUUAUGUAGUCUUUGAGGUUCUUGAAUGCCUCAGCACAUUUAUUAGUCCAUGUAAUGUACUUCUUACUUCCCUUAAGUGCUUUGAAGAAAGGAGCACAUAUGUCUGUGACCUUAGAGAUGAACCUAGUUAAGGCUGCCACCUUGCCAGUAAAGCUCUGGAUGUCUUUUGAAGUUACCGGUUCCUUCAUGUCAAGGAUUGCUUUGAUCUUCUCAGGAUUGACCUCAAUGCCUCGUUGGCUUAUAAUGAAGCCUAAGAAUUUGCCAAAGCCUACGCCGAAGGCACAUUUGUUGGGUUUCAACCUCAUUCGAUACCUCUUCAGAAUGGUGAAAGUUUCAGAUAGGUUGGUGAUGUGUUGGUCAGCAUGUUUGCUCUUGACUAGCAUAUCAUCAACGUAAACUUCCAUGUUUUUCUCAAUUUGUUCGGCGAACAUUGAAUUGACCAGUCUCUGAUAAGUUGCUCCUACAUUCUUUAGGCCGAAGGGCAUGACUUUAUAGCAAAAUAGUCCCCUGUCAGUAGUGAAGGCUGUGUGUUCUUGGUCCGGAGGGUUCAUGAGGAUUUGGUUGUAUCCUGAGUAAGCAUCCAUAAAGCUCAAAAGUUCACACCCUGCCGUAGAGUCUAUAAGUCUGUCUAUGAGAUGAAGAGGAAAGUUAUCCUUCGGGCAUCCUUUGUUUACGUCGGUGUAAUCGACACACAUUCUCCACAAGGCCUUUUAGAGCAGGAGACUUUCCUUGGUCGAAUUCUUCUUAACAAUGACAACAUUUGCUACCCACGUUAGAUAAUUGACUUCGCGGACGAAGCCUAUACCUUUGAGUUUUUCAACUUCUGCCUUCAUUGCCUCGUACCGUUCAGCGUCAUAAGAUCUUCGCUUUUGUUUCACUGGCUUGGUCUUGGGGUCAAUACUUAAGCGAUGACAGAUGAUAUUGAGAGAGAUGCCUGGCAUGUCCUCGUAUGACCAGGCAAAGACCUCAGUGUUCUCUUGCAAAAAAGAGAUCAAUGCCAACCGAAUGGGUGGUGACAAGGUGGUGCCAAUCCUCAUCAUGCAAUCCAGAUAAUCUUUUGAGAUAGGGACGUUCUCCAACUCUUCAACGGGUUGUGCUUGUUGGGUGAAAGAGUCAUCUCGAGGAUUGUCGGGUUGACUGUUGCCACCGUGAAGAUCCAAGUUGGCUUCGUUUGGGAUGGUCUUUAGGACUUUGUCAUGUAUAGAAAGGGUUUCCUUGGGCACAGACAAGUGUUGUUGCUUGACCAAAGUGUUGUAACAUGAUCGUGCACUAAGUUGAUCUCCUCUGAUGUAACCAUUGCCAUAGGGGGUUGGAAAUUUCAUCAACAACAUAUGUGUGGAUACCAUGGCCUUGAGAUCAUUGAUGCAUGUGCGUUCGAAUAUGACAUUGUAUGCUGUUAGGCAAUCAACCACCAGGAAGUUAGUGGUAAUGGUAGCUGUGUAAGAGUCUGUACCAAUGGUAAAAGGUAAAUGUAUGCUUCCCAAAGUUGCACGAUAUCACCAGAGAAGCUUAUCAGAGGGGAAAUCGAGCGAUCAAGCAAGUGUUCAGCUACAUUAAGUGCCCUGAAAGCUUCAGCAAACAUGAUAUUGACCGAAGCCCCUGUGUCUACCAGGAUUCGUCGUACUUCAAAGUUGGCUAUGUGAGCUUCCACAAUCAGUGGGUCGUUGUGAGGGUAGAUGAUACCUUUUUCUUCCUCAGGGUAGAAACAUAUUGGAUCCCAGUUAGGCUUUUGAUACUUACCUCCUCUGAUGUCUUCCACAUGAAACACUUGGUGGCCAGACCUUAAAGCUCGUUCAAUAUUUUUCAUGGCCCUGUUGGAAGAUUUAGAUAUGGGUGUGCCACCACUUAUGGAAUAUAUCACAUUCACCUGGCGUUGGUUACGGUUACCCCUUGGAGGGUGAAGGAGGAAUUGACAAUUUUUCCUUCACGUGCCAAAGCUUCAAUAUGAUCACGAAGGGUGAUACACUUCUCGCCGUCAUGGCCGUUAUGCUCGUGGUAGCAGCAAAACGUGCCCGUGUUCUUCGUAGGCUUGUAAUCCGGGUGCCUCGGCUUUGGCUUCGGUAUCAGGUGUGCUAUGCUGGGGUAAAUGGCCACACAUGUGGCGUUCAAAGGUGUGUAUGCCUCAUACCUUGGGGUAGAGGCAGUCCUGACACGUGCUUGACCCACUGUGUUGACUGCCUGGGGUCGGGGAUUAUCAUGGCGAUACCCUUGAUUAUUGCGGUAGUGUCCCUUACUCUUUUUACUAAAAUAAGCCUGGUGAGGAUGAAAAUCUUUCAUUUUGCCCUAAGAUUAAUAUGUCUGUUGACUUGGCAAAGUAUUAAGUAAGGUAGGGGGAUGCACCGCUGCCGUUUGGAAGGUCGAGGUCUUCUCAUUUGGUUGGAUCUGGCUUCCACUCCCUACUUGCUGAUAAGGGGUGGUUGUUGGGGGUUUCCCUUGAUAUGUCAUUGCCUCAGCAGAGGCAUGGUUGUAAGCCUGUGUCAUUACCUCAGAGUAAGUCUUCCAAGUGUUGGCAUUGAUCAUGUACUUGAAGAAACAAUCACGUAGGCCUGCCAUGAAGGCCUUGAGGGCGGUUUUGUCAUCUACCUCAGCGCAGCGAGAAUACUCAUGGCUGAAACAACCAACAUACUCUCGUAGUGACUCGUCCGGCUUCUGGUGAAUAAUGUACAAGUCAUCUGCAGAAUGCAAGCGAUCAGUCUAGAAGAUGUGUUGAGAGACAAACAGUUUCCUCAGUUCCUCAAAUGAGUCUACUGUCUCAGGUGGAAGACGGCAAUACUAGUUUAGAGCUCCGCCAGAGAGGAUGGAGGGGAAAAGAAGACAUCGCUCUUCAUCGGUAUGCAUCCGAUAUGCCAUGGUGGACUCAAAGAGGUUAAGGUGUUCAAUUGGGUCCUUCAUUCCAGUAUAGAGUUGCAAACCAAGCUUUUAUUUUGUCUUCGCUUGAAGGGGGUGUCGAGGAUCCUCCUUGUGAGAGGGCCAGACCUGGGUUGGUUCCAGUCAGGUAUCUCAGCCUGACGUUCGACCUUCAACUUGUUUACUUCCUCAAUGAGCUGUAGGACAAUGGGGUCCUGAGUGGAGUUAUGUACCAUUGGAAUUUUCUUUCGUAAGUCUCCAUCGCAUCUUGGAAGUAGGAAAGUUUGAGCAAGGGCGUGUAGUUUUUCCUUGGACUCGCCGUACUCACUUUUAGGGCGAGUUUGUCGGAAUACCUCAGAGUCCCAUGUACUUUCAUGUUCCUCUGGGACUUGUCGUUCCUUCCCUAGAUUGGCAGCUGGCCUGGGUCGUGGGAGGGGACCGAGUCUUUUAGAAACCCUUGGGUUAUUGAUCUUCGAGCAUAUGUGGAGGGGAUUCUCUCGACGUUGCUUUAGGAAGUCUCGACAAUCACGAUAAACGGCUUUUGAUCCUUCCAACCCUUAUGUCAGGAGGUGUCUUCCUCCACUUCUCCUGCUUCGGAUCGAAGUAGCUGGGUUGAUAGAAGUCUCAUGUUGAUCAAUGUUUUGAUGAUUAGCUCGCUCCUCAUCAGGGAUACCCAUGUCGAAGGAAGGUGACCCUCCGUGUUGGGGGGCACUCAGAUGAUGGUUGAUGUCCACAGGGGCAACGAGCUGGUGUGUUUGAGUACGCCUAGUUUCAUGGAACGUCUCAAAGAGCUUCUCAUACUGCUCUUGGAAGACCUCAUUCUUCAUUGUUAUCUUGUUGUUCUGAGCUUCUAGCUCAUCGACUUUAGCUUGAAGAGCAACCCUCUUUCCUUCUUUCUUUCGUUGCUUCGCACUAGGUGCAAGAGGGGUUUCAUUCUGUGUGUUGUGGCUUCCUUCGCUCCCCAUGUCGGAGAGGGAUGCCUGGUCAAAAGAGAGUGUACGAAUGGUGGAAACCAGCUUGACAAAGCUAAAGAGAGUGGGAAUAAGUGUCGUUCCCACAGACGGCGCCAAAUGUUGAUGCACAAAAUCGGUGAGGACUUUGGUUCAACAGAAAGUGUUAAGUUUGUGACCUUCGCUAGAUUGCUCCGGUCACUAGUGUGGAUAAGUAUGUAAAUGGAUAGGGACAAGGAAGCAAACACAAGAUGUACGUGGUUCAUCCAGAUUGGCUACGUCCACGGAGUAUAGGAGUUCUCAUUAAUUGUGAAGGGUUUACACAAGUACAUAGGUUCAAGCUCUCCUUUAGUGAGUACUAGUAAAUGAUUUAGUACAAAUGACAUUCGGAAAUAUUGUGAGAGAAUGAUCUCUAUUUAUAGAAGAGAGUUUCUAGUUUCAUUCUGACAUUGACACGUGUCGUGUUGUGAUUGGCUUCUGAUGUUAACAUGUGUCACGCUAUGAUUGGCUUCUGAUGUCGACAUGUGUCGCGUUGUGAUUGGCCUCCUGGUUGGAGGGAAACUCUUCUGGGUCCUUGACGGUAUAACGUUAACCGGUGCUCAGUAGUUUCGGGAUUGGUCAAGUAUGGUACAAACAAAACUAACCCUUUAUAUAUAUAUAUAUAUAUAUAUAUAUAUAUAUAUAUAUAUAUUAUAUAUAUAUAUAUAUAUAUAUAUUCUAUUUUCCGGAUAGAAAGACGUAUAUCUAGCUUCGAAAACAAUAUGGAGAAAUCAACAACUGCUGCUAUAUUGUUGCUCUUGUACUUUUUUGGGUUCUUCCCUCAACCAGAAGUUCACUCAUUCGCCAAUCCAUCUGAUGACCUUGGUAAAUAUAGUUUGAAAGUCCCAUUGGUUUUUCAAAGUAACUUACAUGACAAAUCAGUUUGAUAAAAAAUAGUUCUCCUUAUAUAUAAACUUUUUACCUCAUCUCUUUUGUUCAUAUAAUGCAGAUUUUGGCUACUUGAAAUUUGUACGUAACGCAACUGAUCUACCAUUACAAGAAGAAUAUGACUACAUUGUUGUGGGAGGGGGCACGGCAGGGUGUCCGUUGGCAGCAACUUUAUCUGCAAACUAAUCCGUGCUCCUUCUAGAAAGGGGCAAUAUUCCAUCAAAUGUGUUGCGUGACAAUGGGACUCUUGCAAAUUUCAUGCAAGAAGAUGACGGUAAGACGCCGGCCCAGAGGUUCACAUCAGAAGAUGGUGUAGCUAAUCUAAGAGGACGGAUCCUAGGCGGGUCAAGUAUGAUCAAUAUUGGUUUUUACUCAAGAGCCGACGGUGAAUUCUACCAGAAAUCAGGAAUUAAAUUGGACAUGAACUUAGUCAAUAAUUCAUAUGCAUGGGUUGAAAACACUGUAGCAUUCCGUCCGAAUGUAACACACUGGCAGUCUGUUGUGAAAGAUGCAAUGUUAGAAGCUGGUGUUCGUCCAGACAAUGGACUGACUUUGGAUCACAUUCUGGGAAGUAAAGUCUCGGCUACGCUCUUUGACGAUCGUGGAAAAAGACAUGGAGCUGUGGAACACCUAAAUAAAGCACAUCCGAAAAACCUGAGAGUUGCAAUUCUUGCCACAGUAGAGAGGAUCAUUUUCUCUUCCAAAGCAUCAGGUAUCCAAACACAUUUGAUAUAUACAAUUAUAGGUCAUUUAAAUUUGAAGAUAGUUGAGCUUCAAACGUAAAACCAAUUGACAAUACAGGGAGUGAUCCAAGUUACUUAUAAGCCUAUGCAAGGUUCAUCAUUCCAUUAAUAUAGCAUUCAUUCUCAACAAAAUUUCCAUAAACCAAAAUUGAAUCUAUCAUGGCUUUAAAAAGAGAGAAUCUUUGAUAUAUUUGAAGGAUUUGAAUCUAUUUGAAGGAUUUGAAUCUAUUCUGUUUACUUGUAAAUUAAAUAUAUGUCCAAUUCUAAUAUCGAUUUUAUGUAGGUUUGUCGGCUAAAGGAAUCAUAUACAGUGAUUCUAACGGGAGGUCUCAUCGGGCAUUGAUACGUGGUAAGGGUGAGGUUAUAUUGAGUGCAGAUGCAAUUGGAAGUUCUCAACUUCUACUACUUAGUGGUGUUGGCCCAAAAUCUUACCUUUCAUCUCGUAAAAUCCCAGUUGUUCACCCACAACCUUACUUUGGGCAGUUUAUGCGUGAUAAUCCUCGUAAUUACAUUACCAUUGUGCCCCCGUUUCAAGUAGAACCUUCUACUGCACAGGUUGCUGGUAUCACAAGUGAUUAUUACAUAGAGACUUUCUCCGGCUUGCCAUUUUCUACUCAGGCCUUUAGUCUUUUCCCUAGUCCAACUAUUCCCAUGAUCAUAAAUUCAAGUUUCGGGCAAAUUGCUGUCAAAAUUCCAGGACCCUUGUCCUAAGGUUCUCUUAAGCUGCAAUCAUCCUAUGAUGUCAAAGUUGCUCCAAAUGUCAAAUUCAACUACUUUGCACAGGAAGCAAACCUUUUUCGUUGUGUUAGUGCCGUGAGGAAAAUGGGUGAUUUAUUAAAAACAAACUCAUUGAAACCGUAUAAGGCUCAAGAUUUGCUAGUUCUAGAAGGUUUCAACCUUUUUGGACCGCCCUUACCAGUGAACCAGUCAGAUGAUGCAUCAUUUGAAACAUUUUGUCGAGAUACAGUAGCCACAUUUUGGCACUUCCAUGGUGGAUGCCUGGUCGGAAAGGUAGUUGAUGAAGAUUUGCGGGUCAUGGGGAUCAAGGCAUUACGUGUUGUUGAUGGAUCUGUAUUCAAUUUAUCACCAAGGACCAAUCCUCAAGCCACUCUUAUGAUGUUGGGCAGGUAUGCACGUUACAUGUGCAUUAUGAUGUUAGGCAGGUAUGCAUGUUACAUGUGCAUUUAAGUACACAACCACAAGAAAUUACCUGUACAUAAUACAACUACUUGGUAAAUAUUUAACUAAGUCCUUAAAUUGCUUAUUUAUUUAUUUAUUUGUGUAAGAAUAUAUAGUUGUUCUUUUCCCACACCAAAUUUUGUUCUUUGGGCAGGUAUGUUGGCGUUCAAAUGCUGGAAGAAAGAUCAGAGUGACACGUUUCUUUGAGAUUAUAUUCAAUUUGCCAUGCAAUGGAUUGAAGAUUAUUCAACAACCUUUAGUGUUAUGGUGUUUUCACUUAAGAUAAACUUAGUUAAUAAGGUCAUGAUGUAACUCAAGACUCAAGUGGUAGGAGGGAAAGAAUAAUUGAAAAUCAAAGCUAAAGGCACAUUAGUUGUAUCAGUUGUUUCUUCUUUUAGAAUUGUAAUUGAAAAGAUAGAUGCAGAGUGUAUUCAACAUGUAUGGUGUAUUUAAUAAAAUGUGGAGUGUGAAUAAACAUGUCCCACUAUUCAUUGUAUUUCAAUUUGAUCCAUCUAAAACUCACCCCAACUUUAAGUCAUAAACAUGUCCCACUAUUCAUUGUAUUAUCAAUUUACCUAUUUCGACUCCAACUUUGAGCUAGACGUGCUCAAUUGGGUGAAAUUUUUGAAUUGUCCUACUUUGAAGUCCAAUUGUGUUUUUCAUAGGAGUCAAGGGGCUGGUUUAAUUUUGGACAUGGUUUGUUUUUGGGGAUGGAAGUUGUGGUGCCAUCCUAUAAAGUUUAUCAUUUUUUCUCUAACAAAAUGUGAGAGAUUACUUACCGUACCGUGCACUCCAACAAACACUUGGGAGUAAUUUUUUCAAAGUGUCAAUUACGUCACCUUAAGACAACCCUAAAUAAUUUAGAGAACAUCCACCUUACCCAAACUAAUCACAUAGUCCACACUCUCCACACAAAUUUCACCAUGUAUGUACCAAAACUGUACACGUUUCAACAGGCAUCUAUAAAAAACUAUAUGUAGUUUCAACAAGUACCUACCAAAGCUGUGCAUACUUCCAGUAAGCUCCAGCCUUAGAGUACGUGAGUCUCUGACAAAUGAAAGGAUUCAAUAUUUUGGCAUGUAUCCACUGAAAUAACUUAACCAUUCGGUCAAGACCUACCAAAUCAUUAAAGUUUCGAUAGGAACCUACAAAAAACCUGAAUCAAGGCUUAGGGUUUUCCAAGCAUUAUGACGCCGUUCAAAUUGAUGCGAAAAAAGAAAGAAAAAAAAAUGUAGUCAUAUUAUGCAAAAUUAAGAAAAAUGUAAUCAUACAUGAUGCGCAGCAUCCAAACAACGAUUUCAAAUAUUUCAUUCGCAAAAAAUAAGCUUUUUUUAUUUUUAUUUUUUAUCAAUGUGUGUUCCUGCAGUCCCCAUCUCCCACAUUGAUAACAAGUGAAGAUGUGUCGUGGAGCCUACCACAACACUAGGAUAGUUGUUGGAGAAUGAGAGUACUCAAAUUUUUCCAUUCCAACAAUUAGUGUACUUGAUUACAAAGACCCUACACUGAUAUGCUACUGGACAGUAUUGUUGAAUUAUAAGCAAAAAAGAUUUGAUCUUAUUGAGAAAUUGAUGUCUUACUCUAUGACUUUUAGGGAACAAAACAAGAGAACAAUAGCCUGACAAAGGGUUUGGUCCGAUUCGGUUGCCCAUUUAGGUGCCAGAACCCCUCAUUGAUUUGAGAUAUUGAUAAGGUGAAUUCCCUGUCUAUUCAAUGCCAGGCAUAAUGAGUAUAAGGACCUCAAAAAAAACUGAGCUGAUUAGUAUUACUGAAUAAUCCAUAUGUUUAAUUGUGUAUUCACUUGUGCUUAAUAUUGCCAAGUGUAAGGCUCAAAUAUGUAAGGCCAUGAGUGUCAUGUGUAAUGAUCGUAGUUAUUAACUAGAUGAGUGGCUGAGAACAGUUUCUAGAGAGAGAUCCAGCUAAAGAGUUUCUAACGGUAUUAUUCCCUUUUACACGACUUGUGUGGGAGUGAGAGUAACAAUCAAUGAGAAGAAUAUUUUCCCUUGUGAUUUGCAGAGAGAAAGAAGCAACCAUUUUCUCUUUCUUGUGCAUUCAUCUCUCUUCAAUUCCUUCUUCUUCCAAAAUAUCAAUUUACUAGCUAUAUUUCAAUUUACACUAACAAGUAUACACACGACAUAGGCAAAAGCUUUCCUACCAAGUUGUUAGAUAACAGUGUGUGGGUAGAACCUAUAUAUGAUGAGUUAAUUAAUAGGAAAUUAAGAAUAUAACUAUUAGUGGCACCGGUUAAACUAAAUUAUGAUACAGGAGAAAACAUGAGGAAUUGAUCGAAAUCAAAUCUACUGUCAGCAUAUCUAUAUCAGUGAAGUGAUGAUUGAUCUUCAGAAAAACAUCUCUGCGUUUGGCAUGUAGGAAAACAAUCAACAUGAACUGCCUUAACUAUGUUAGAACCGGAUAAUUCUGAAGAAACCAUAGGGUGCUCCUAGGUGUGUGUGUGUUCACGAGAACUUCAUAGAAAUUAGAAAAGAUGUUGUCAACUAUAUACUUCCGUCCAAAUCCCUCCAGCUAGCCCUUCCAAAGUCAGUGAUGUGAAACACGUAUGGUCAAACAAAACAAGUAACAAGAGAAUGUACAACCAGAAUAAUUUACGAAAUGUUAUAUUGGCGAGAAAAAUAAACUCAACUAAAACAUGUACCAACAACCUUUGACAAAAACAAGAAUUGUAGAAUAACCACUUCUCCAUUAACAAACUAUAACAUGGAACUGAACAAUAGAAUAACCACUUCUCCAUUAACAAAAGUCCUACUAUCCAACUUUUAACAAAAAUUUCUACAUAAAACUUCUAUCACCCAAGUCAAAUUGCAAUAUACGGACCGUCAGCUUCUUUUCCUUUUCUGGAGUUCAAACUGCUUCAGUAAAGCUGAGAUACCCUCCUUCAUUGAGGCCCUCCUCUUUUGCUCAAAGUUCCAUAAUUCUGGUAUUGCGUACCUACCACUGGGAUUAUACUCAUUCAAUUCCAGCAAGGCAGUUGUCACAGCAUUGUAAACAUGAACACCGUACUCAUCCUUUAAAAUUUUCAGUUUGUCAUCUUUCUCAUCAAUAGUUUGCUGUAUGGUUAAAACAAACAUAAUCCAGUUACAAGGGCAUGAGAAAUGAGAUGUACUGGAACAAAUCAAUUGAGUACAACAAAGUUAGAGCAUGAUAAUGAUGAGCCAAAGAAACACAAUAAGGAAAUGAAAUAAUAAAAAUAUAACAAAAUGUCCAUAAAUUUUUUCCACGUGAACGCCACAUCAACUUGGUUGGUUAACAGAAACACAACAGACUUGAUGGAAUGGGGUAUUUUGAAACACAAGGCAUAUCAUAAGGAGGGAGGGGGGAAGCUAUGUGGGUGUUUUGAAACACAAGGCAUAAGGAGGGAGGGAGGGAGGGAGGGGGUUGGGGAUGGGGGAGCUAGACGCAUAUCAUAACUGUAACAAAGCCUAAUAAAUAUUCUUCCAUUGAUUGAAUCUCCCCGCAAGAAGUUUUAAUUGGGAAAGCAUUCCAUAUUUAGAUUCUUCUACCAUACAUACAGAUUACACAGCCCCUGGUCCCAAAAGCUUAAGAUGUUAGGGAAUGGCUGAACAAGGGAUGCCAAGCUUACACCCUCCCUCACAUGCAGCAUGUGGAGGUACAAACAGAUGGUAGGAGAAAAAUAACAUAAUAGUGCAGCCUGACCGUGCAUCAUUCACACAGCAUAGAAGCAGGCAUCAAGAUCAAAAGUUUUGAACCCAAUACCUCUUCCAAACAUAACCACUGGCCCCAAAAGCUUAAGUGAUGAGCGAAUGGAACUGCAAGAAUUAUCAGGAUUACAACAACAACUAUCCAUGUGUUGACAGAAGUAAACCCACCACUGCAUUUGCCUUGACAGUAACAAAAGAUGUACCUAUACAGUAACAAUAUGACAGAAUAACCCUAGAUAUUCAGUUACGCCUUUUAAUUGGAAUAUGUUCAGACAAAAUUUGGAAUGUCAAGGUGUGUGAUCGAAUUUCUAUUAUAAAUUUCAGAACAAAACUCAUUUAUUUCUUUUGUGUUUGCAAAGUCCUAGAAACUCAGUUCAACCAUAGUUUUCUAUUGGAAAGAUUACUUUGUACAAGUUUGAUCAACUUCGACCCAGAACACAAAAGAUUACUUCGACGCAGAACACAAAAGAUUACUUUGUACAAGUUUGAUCAAUAUGAAAUCUUGGGCAAGUUUCUAGAGCGUUCACUAUACUGGGAUACAAGCACAUGGCCGUAAUGUGCUGGCUUUUUGAACUUCACCUUAAUAAAGUUAUGUGUGUGGUGUUGUCAGAGAUAGAGUUCAAAACUAUAAGUUACUCUAGUAUAAUCUGGAUCACUAACACUAUGUACAGGUUCAAGUUGAGAAACACCUUUACUUAUGCAUAGCUUUAUGAUAUGUUGCUUGAUAUAUAUUUUUUAAAUAAAAACAAGUGGGGGAUUGUUGGAGCAAUUAUGUUUUUAUUUAAAUGUUUUAAAUAUUUAUAUUUUAGUUUAUUACAAACAUUAAAUUUAAAACAUAAUUUGUUAUCAUCCUUUGAUUGUAGACAGUUUUGCAUCCCAUAAAUCCCCAUAAAUAUCCUUGAUUUUGUACGGUUUCACACCCUCCAACGUGCAUCCCAUAAACAUCCAUGAUUUCUUACGGUUUCAAACCCUCCAAUGUCUAUUUCUUUAUAUAUAUAUAGAUUAUAUAUAGGUUAGAAAAAGUGCAGAACAAAGACGAAGUAAGAAAAGUUUUAUAUAUAUUGAUUUAUAAAAAGCAACAUAUUGGUAAGGUGUAAGUUCGAAGGUUCUUCCGAUGUGCAAGGAAGAAUCUUAUCAGAAGAAUGUUAUGGGCUGUUUUAUCCUGGGGACUACGUGGUGUUUGUGAACUGCUUGCACACUUUGGGCAGAGCCGCGAAACGUCUUAAAGAGAGCGACUUAGUCCGCGACUCAUCCCAAGAAUCAUUCACCACUCAAGGCUUUUACAUUUUCGGGUAACUUCGUUCCUUUCUAUUUUCAGUUUACAACAGUUCUUGCCUUUCCUAUUCCAUCGACCUCGUUUGUGGCUACGUCCUCGUUUAUGAUAAUCACCACCAGAGGAUGUGGCGUUUACUUCGAGGGAAGCAGCAUUCACUUCUGGGAAUGGUGCAGAUCCAGUAGGUCGAGAAUUAUGGUUUUUCAUCAGGAGCUCAUUAUUCUGUUCAGCUACCAGGAGCACAGAUAUCAGCUGGUUGUAUUCAAUGUAGCCUCGCGCUCUAUACUGCUGCUGCAGGAGCACAUUAUUGGCAUGAAAUGUGCUGUAAGUCUUUUCCAGCAACAUUUCCUCAGUAAUGGUAUCCCCACAAAGCUUCAUCUGAGAGGUAAUCAUGAACAACGCAGAAUUGUAUUUUGCCACUGAUUUGAAAUCCUGGAUUCUUAGGUGAGACCACUCAUAGCGAGCUCUUGGAAGAAUCAUCGUUGUCUGGUGAUUGUAUCUGCUUCUCAAGGCCUCCCAAAGAGCUAACGGAUCUUCAACCGUUAAGUAUUCACUCUUUAGUGCCUCAUCAAGAUGGCGGCGAAUAAAGAUCAUGGCCUUCGCCCGAUCUUGAGAGGAUGAGUUGCUUUCUUCCCUGAUGGUAUCUCCAAGAUUCCCUGCUUCUAGAUGGAUCUUGGUAUCCAGUACCCAGGUAAGGUAAUUCUUCCCAGUAAUGUCCAGGGCAGCAUAUUCAAGCUUUGCCAAGUUCGCCAUUUUCUUUUUUGAAAGAAAAUGAGAUGUGUAAGAACUUGCAAUCAUAUGUAUUCCUGGAGGAAUAUAAUGUUAGAACUUCUGGUUCUUACAAAUUUUUCAUUUUGAUCUUCAGACCAAAAUGAUAAGCACUCGAAACUUCUGGCUCGAGAUUUUCCAGAUGAAUGAGGAGGGCGAUUGUACCGCACCACUCUCAUAACAUAGAAUGGGUGAUUAUUCCACACCACUCAAGUAACAGAAAAUUGAAAUAUGCAGAGCAAGGUGGGCGAUUAUACCGCACCACCUAAAAUUGCAAUGAAAUUAAACAGCAGGUGAAUUUAAAUUUGCAGAGCAAGGUGGGCGAUUAUACCGCUCCACCUGAAAAAUUUGCAGUAAAAGUAGAUCUGCAGUCCAAGAUAGGCGAUGAUACCGCACCAUCUUGGAUUGCAGUAAGAUGAAAUUUGCAGUUCAAGAUGGGCGAUUGUACCGCACCAUCUUGGAUUGCAGUAAAAUAAAUACUGGGUUAGUAAUCAAUAUCCAAACCAAACAAGUAAUCAAAGAUGUAUGUAACCGCUAGUUGGAGAACUACAAUCAGGCAUGGAGCAAAUAGUUCGUCGCGAGGUUAUACCGCGCAGUUGAGGCAGAUGAAGAAGAUGAACAAGAAAAACCUUAGAGGAAACAUUUUUUUUUUUCGUUCGGCGGAGAGAAAUGAGAGAAUGAUUUCCUUUUUGUUUAGUGAAUGUAAAUGAGACAUGGUUAUAUUUAGAGACUCGUGCUGAUAACGUGUUAUAAAUAUGUCAAAGUUAGAGAGAUAACCUUUAUAGUGAGUGGAACGAAGCAGAAGUAAAAUAUCACACUGUAAUUAAAACACAAGGAGUUGAUAAAUUAAGGAGGGAGGAAUGGAUGAUAUUUGAUCUGUUUGUUUUCUAUCUGUUUUUCCGUAUCCUUUGAUUGCAUUCGAGUGCUCUAUUUAUAGGGCAACUCAAACAACCGUAUUAAUUGCAUAUGGAAAUUUACAGCAUGCAACCUUUGACAAACAUGAUCUCCUGCAUCCAAAGUCACUUUCUAAUUUGCAUGGUCAUUGAAAACUUCUACAAAUAUUUUCAGUUUCUACGUGGGCAUUCAAUACCCACUAGUAUUUUCAACAAAAUAAUUUGUAAGGGAGUUUGCAAAUAAUUAUAGAGAGGAGAGAGACGGACAUUGACAAUCGAACCAAUAUAUAUUAUAUAAUUAUAUUUGAUUUGGUUUUGUAUUAUUGAACAUACUGUGUUGUAGUCCCGAUUUCCAUAUCGAAAUUUCGGGUAUUAUUCAGUUUCCAUUACCGAAUAAUUCAGGAUUUUCAGGUUUUGUUUUUUUUUGAGUUUGGUUCAGAUUUUUCGAAUCGGAUUUCUUUCCUACCCUACAAAUAAAGUUAGAAAUAUCACAUUACUUAUAUAUAGCAAAGUGAUGUAAGCAGUACACAUCAUUGCUAUGCAAAUUUUUAGUUUGAUAUUAAAAUCUCUCUCAGUUUUUUUCAAUCAAUAAUUAAAAAAAAAAAAACUAAUCAAAAAGUUAGCUUUUCGAUAAUAAUCGUAGAUGGACUUUUUUUUUUUUUGGUUGUCCUGUUUGUGUACUAGCGAAUGGGUGGGUUCUUUUCAAACAAAUUUAAAAUUAAAAAAAAUAUAUCCGAAGGCAACAGGUCCAAAAGAGAGCCUAAUUGGAAAUGUAAUAAACACAUACCAUUUAUUGCUUAGGGAAGGUCAAUAUACUCUGCGCAAUAUCCCUAUUCCUCAAACACACAUUAUUGCUAGGUUUUGUAUCUUACAUUGUCCAAUGUUUUUAUUGAUUUUACGAUUACAUAGAUAUAUAACAACGAAAACCUCUUAUUCAUAUCACACACAUAAUAUUCUAUGUUUUCUUCUUUUAUCCAUAGAAUUCAGAAGAUAAGUGAGGUUCGAUGAGAAUAUUGAGUGGAGUUGCCUUAACGUUGGUCAGUCCAAAACUCUCCGUCAUAUCAAUUGGUGCACUCGACGGGUUUGAGAUUUCAAAUGCAUGUAGAAAACUAGCCAACGUAUAUUGCACCAAUUGAAGGCCAAAUGCCAUACCAGGGCAUGAUCUUCUACCACUUCCAAAAGGAAUAAACUGAAAAUGCUGACCCUUCAGAUCAACAUCCUUGUGCGUGGUUAGAAAUCUCUCUGGCUUGAACUCUAAUGGCUCGGACCAAUUUUUUGGGUCAACUUGGAUCUUCCAGAGGUUUGGGAUAAAUCGGGUGCCCUUUCGGAUAUGGUAGCCAGCAAUGGUGCAAUCUUCCUCGAAUACACGCGGCCCUGAUAAUGGUCCUGCUGGGUACAAACGUAACGUCUCCUUUACAAUAGCUUGGAUGUAGACCAAGUUGCUCAAAUCUUCCUCACUCACAACUCUUUGUCCGCCUAUUUUGGUGUCCAGUUCGUUUAGGGCUUUUUUCAUAGCGUGAGGGUGGUUCAGCAAUAACGAUAUUGCCCACGUCAUUGUCACCAUGGUGGUAUCGUUACCUCCUGCAAUAACAGUCUGCCAAAAAAAAUAUUUGCUUGAUUGAUUAGGGGAUAUCUAUAUUUAACAUCUAUACAUUCUUUAGGUGACGAAAAUAAAGAGACUAUUUUUAUAAAUCACAUCUUGUAAAAUCAAAGAAUGUGGCGGUUAAUAGUUGGAUUCUAUUUUUAAAGGUUUAAAGAAAGAAUCUAACGAUCAACCGUCAUAUCAUGUGGUCUACAGAGACAGUCUAAAAAGAUAAUCUAUCUACCAUCACCUAUUGGUGAGCACUCAAAUAUGUUGCAUGAGGCAUACAUAAAAUUGGAAAUCAUAUGUUUUCAAAAAAAUUUCUUGUCUUAUGUUUUCAUUUUCUUUUUAUAAACCAUGCAUUUAGCUUAAUUAAGUAUUGACACUAAAAAUAAAAUCUUGAUGUGUUGAGUGUCUUAACUCCAGCCUUUUAUGGUUAAUUAUUCGCCUGCAAAUUAAUGAAUUAUAUGUACGUACCAAGCUUGUGGCUUUGACGAUCGUAUCAGCAUCAAAACCGCCAAGGUCUGCACCAUCAAGCACAGAAAGCAUCGCAUCCAUGAAGUCCUGUUCUCCUUUUGCAUCACCUUUUGCUCUCCUCUGCUUAUGCUCUUCAAGCCACUCUGCAGCAAUUGCGUGCAUUUCCGUUGCACUUUUCUUCAUCGCCUUCUCAUAUCCACCCCAAUCCAACCACCGCAGAUAAGGAACUGCAUCACCCACCAAAAACAUGCCCAUAUAAUCAAAUAACUCCUUCAAUGCAGUCUGAACCUUAAGCGCUUCUUUCUUCUCAUCCCCAGUGGCAGCCACGGAGUACCGCUUUCCGACCACCAUUUUAAGAAUCACGUUCAGCAUCAUGUCCCCAAGCCAUGGUUUCAGGUCUACAACCACUCCAUCUUUCGAGCUCUCCUUCUUUGUACUCCAAAGUUCGUAUAAAUCUUUCAAGAAAGCAGUCACUUCAUAUGCUCGAAUGUGCUUGAGCAGCUCAACCUUCCGGACUGAGAGCAACUCCAAGGAGACUAGCUUGCGAAUUUCUCGCCAAUAGGGUCCAGAUGGUCCGAACCCAAACAUGGCGUAGUCGUAGCUAACGUGGUCUACAACCACCAUCUUUGGGCGGGAGAGUGAGCUCACGUCUUUGGUUGUGUAGCAUUCUUUUGCGAUCUCACUGCUGCUUAUCACCAAAGCCGGAUGGACGCCAAGGCGGAUAGUAAAAAUGGGUCCGUACUUGUCCGCCAUGGCUCCCAAAGUUCUGUGAGGAGGUAUGGAGUCUCCAAACAAAGGAAGGUGACCAAAUAUAGGCCAUCCACCCUUGGCUUCAGGUAGUGAUAAUUUGCCCUUGUGAUUUGCAGCUCUCCAUCUUCGUGAUAAGUAAUAGAACACGAUGAUUACUGUGAACAAGCCAGCAGUGAUAGAGUUUGCAUAUGGGAGAGAAUCCAUUUUUGCAACUCAAUCAUUAGAAAGCUAGAGGCAAAAUGAUUUUUAUUGAACUGGGUAAAGGCUUAAGUUGAUUUGCCUUGUCAUACACACACGUAUAUAUAGGAGUAUGGGCUUUAGUAUGAGAUAUUUUUCAGUGUGAUCCGAACACAGGGUGUUACACCAUGUGUCACUAUAUAAAUAGUGAAAUAUGUGUGUUAAAAAGUUAAUAACUUAAAAAAUAAAAUUCUGCACCAUUUAUAUAGAAACAUGUGGUGUACUAUCCGUAUUCCGAUCACAAUGAAAAAUUUCUCGUUUCGUACAUAUGGUUGUUUUGAAAUAGAUAACUCUUUAUCUUCGAGGCAUGUUGAGGGGAGAAAUGAAAAAAAUUAUGACUAACUAAAAGGUAAAAGAUAGAUUGUCGUUGUUUUUUUUUUGUUUUUUGAACAAAAGAUAUUAUCUAAAUUAAAGAGGUGGAGGAGUGGGCUAAGCUUCACAAUAGGUUAAUAAUAAUGUGGUUCAAAUUUUCCUUUGACAAUAAUCAAACAUAGAAACCCACAUAGAAUUAAUUGUGUACAUCAAACAUGCAAUAGGAAUAUUUUAAGCAUUCGAAAAAUGUAAAAUCUGUAAAGUAUAAUUGAUGAAUUUGCUUAUGUGGAUCUUAGUUAUUAAGAGAAAAAAUUAUGUUGGGUUCUACGUAGAACAUAGUGCUGGGCAUUUAAAAAAAAACCAACUAAAUUGCUCGAAUUGCACCCGCGGCUUGGUUUGGUUUUGUUUUUUUUUUUUGUUUUUUUAUUUUCAAUGGCUAAACCAAACCGCACCGAUCUUAAUCGGUUUGGCAAUUGGUUCCCAAAAUUCUUAGGGUGCGGUUAACCAAACUGACCCGCAUAUAUUUAAUUUUAUUUUUUAAUCAUAAUUAAUACGUGUAAUAAUAUAAUUGGUUAGUUAUUUAUGAGUUACCAUAUUUCCACCACAUGAAAACAAAACUUGGUUAGUUUAAGAGUCUCUUUAGAGAAGAACAAGGGGACCAUUUAGAGAAGGCAGCAACUGCUACUUUGGUGCUCCUCUAGAGCUGCUUCAUCUGUGCUUUUUUUUGAGCAAUUACUCAUAUUGAUGCUUCGUUAUGUAGCUUUUGGAAGACUUUUCUCGCUUGUUAAUGACGUGAUUGAUUACUUUUCAAAACUAUACUCUCUUU